This 73-nucleotide transfer RNA is filed under the name Polypterus teugelsi. RNAcentral's name for it is "tRNA-Lys". The record is from RNAcentral. Lineage: Eukaryota; Metazoa; Chordata; Cladistia; Polypteriformes; Polypteridae.
CAUUAAGAAGCUAAUAGAGCAUAGCAUUAGCCUUUUAAGCUAAGUGAAGGUGACCACCAACCACCCUUAAUGA